Long non-coding RNA from Carya illinoinensis, 4094 nucleotides. RefSeq lists it as uncharacterized. The transcript has 3 exons. NCBI's taxonomy places the organism in Eukaryota, Viridiplantae, Streptophyta, Magnoliopsida, Fagales, Juglandaceae. The record is from RefSeq and is a predicted model, not a curated record.
CUUUAAAUCAAGAUGUCUCGGUAGGCUCUUAUGGAGUCCACUGCAACCAAGAAAGCGGCUGAUUCGGCAAAAGAUUUGAGUAUUUAACCAUAUCAUGCUCCUUGAUUCCACCUUUCUUUUGCUUCUGCACUAAAGGUUGAAACUUGACGAGGUUCUUCGGAACCACAGUUUUAUCAUUGGUGGUCACGUCUUUCUGCUCCUGGAUGGGAAGAACCGCUUUGCGAGUGGCGUCUAUUGUCUAAGGCUGCAGACUGUGGACGAGGGUACAAGAAAUCAGUGGGGAAGAAGUUGUACUCAAGGUCAGCCAUUUCUAAAAUUUCCCCAAGUCGAUGUAAAAUGAUGAGGAGUUCAGAAACAGAAAGCAGUGACUGAGAAGAGGAGAAAAUGCACCUAAAUCUUUGUCUUAUUGAUAUGCCUCUCACAACUUCACGUCUACUUAUAUAGAGGAGGAGGUACGGUUGGCUUUGCUAUGUUCAGCAUCUGAAUUCUUUCUCCGCCGAUGAAUUAUUUCUCCGCCCAUAAAAAAAUAAUAAUAAUAAAACGUGAACUUCAUUUGUUUAUUAAAUUGUAAAUAUUUCUCUCUUUUCUAUGUUACCUCAAAGUGUCCUCCGGCUCAUAUAUUUUACACACAGUUUUCACUUUCACUUUUACCUAAUUUGCAUUGCUCUCCUUUUGUCUCUGACAAGGAGAAUUUAAAGACUAGAAAGAAAAAAAGGGAAAGUAUUUCUUGGGAUAUUCAAUUAAGUUGUAAAAUACAAAAAGACGAUAUUCGAUUUCACUUCCCAGUAUGGAGUUGCCAAAGGAUCCGGUUCCCACCUAAUAAAAGGCGUGCGGCGUGCCAUUUAUAUGAAAAGAAGGUCGAAAAAUGGAUGAGAGAUGUUUACAGAGUUUGCAUGAUUGGAAGUUGCUGCAUCGUGCCUUUCAACAUCCUAUAGUUGGAAUGACUGUUUCGAAAGCUUGAACAAGAAGUUCCACUUUUCUUUUCCGGGCAGGAGUUAGUUUUGCAACAACCUGUUGAAGUGCAUAAUCAAGCAUCCAUUCCUCAGAAUUUUUUCUCUGAUCCAUCUCUUGAUGCCUUAAAUGAACCUUUUCACCUUCAGGGUCUGGCUCCAAAGGCAGAUAACAAGGCCCCUUUGGAUUAAAUUCCCUUACUUUUUCCAAUGCCUUGAUGAAUCUUUUAAGCAAGAUCCACUUUUUCAGAGUGCUCCAGCUACUUGGCAUUUCCUUGUUUGAUUUCUUUCCCACAUUCAACUCGGUUUUCUCUUUUUCUUGGGUACUGAUAUUACCAGAUGUAAGCCAUUUUUCUCCUGGAGCUGUUCUGUGGGAUUCCAUGAAGCCAUUCUUGCAAUUUGAGAGGAAUGGUUUUCCUCCCUCACUCACUUUCUCUUCUGAGAGUCCCUUAUCUUGAAUCAUCUCACUAGUGCUAAAUUCAUCCUUAGUUAAGUGGUCCUGAAUUUCUGGAAGAAGGAUUUCAUCAAUUGCCUCUUCUACCAGCUUAAUGGCUUCAGUACGGUGGAGAUCGACAUUUUGCUCAUCUGCCUCAUUAUCCCCAUCCAUGUCUUGAUUCAUUUCUGAGAAGUUUUGACUUAAACUAGAAAUGCCCAUUUCUGGCAAUGAGUUGGCAUCAUUCACUGGUUCUUCUUUACCUGCUUCAUUGAGAUGCACUGUUUGAGAGUUCUGAACUUGGAGUAAUUACCUUGGAGGCUUUUCCAUUAUCUCCAACUUCUUCAUGACAGGUGCUUACAAUGUUCUCUGGCUUCAAGGAGAAUUUAUUACAUGAGCUGGGAUCUUUGAUCUCUGAUGAACAACUAAUGAUGGAAUCAGGUUGACCUUCAGCGAGAAGUAAUUUGCUGCCGACCAUAUCAAUAUUGAUGGCAACAGUUUGCUUUUCCUUCCAGUCUUCACCAGUGUCUUGACAGGCUGUUAUAUGUUGUUCUGCUUUAAUGGAACAACAUUCCAAAGUAGUUUCUGUGAGCUCAGAAAAUUUCAUUGCAGGUAGCUGUUUGUCUGCUAGAAAAUCACUGACUUGGUCUGGAUAACCUUGGAAUAUUUCAGCUGACUCUUUAUAAUUACUUUCUUGACCUGCUCUUCCUGUGCUUUGAGUUGAAGGACCAUUACAGGCUUGAACAGUAUUUGCUCGAGUACGAAUUGCUGCAUUGGAGCUCUGGCUAAUUUCGAUUUCUGACAGUGGAAGAACUGUCUCAAAAGCUUCUACAAGCAGCGCUACUUUUCGUUUUUGAGCUGGAGCUAGUUUAGAAAUGACCUGUUGAAGUGCAUUAUCAAGCAUCCAUUCCUCGGUGUUUUUUCUCUCGUCUGUUGUUUGGUGCCUUAGAUGGACUUUUUCUGCUUCUGGAUCAGGCUUCAAGGGCAGAUAUCGUGGCCCCCGGGGGCUGAAAUCCCCCACCUUCUCCAAUGCCUUCACAAAUUUCUUGAGGAUGAUCAAUUUUUUCAAAUAGCUCCAGCUCUUGGGCAUUUUCUGGUCAGAUUCACUUUUCACAUUUGAUGCUGUUCUCUCUUCCAUGGGAGUGCUAAUACUAUCAGCUUUGACCCAUGUUUCUUCUGGUUCCUGUACCAUACUGUCUCUAGCAGGCUCACUGUAAGCUGAGAUGCUCCAUUCCUGGCCCUCGCCAUGACUCUUUUCUAAGAGGUCGUGGUCUGAACUGAUGCUACUAGCAAUUGAUUGAUCCUCCAUUGAGUGGUCUUGAAAUUCUUGCAGAAGGAUAUCAUCAAAUGCUUUUUGUACCAGCUGAAUGGCAUUAAUCUGGCUGAGCUCAUUCUUUUGGUGGUUUGCAUCAUGAUUUUCCUUUACCAUGUCCUUGCCAAUUUCAGAAAAGCCCUCAGAAGAACCGCAGUCAUUAGUGCCAAGCAAGGUGCUUGUAUCUUCCACCUGUUCUUCAUCCAAUCCAUUUAGAGGAACCUGGUUUCCAGCUUUUCUAUCGACACCUACCACUGCAUGCUUAUAUAUCAAGUGCCACAUUCUGAUAUACUUUUGAUUUUUAAACUGUGUUUUGUGUUCUACAUGAUUGGUCAUGAUGGGCUCGGAGUCCCUGUGGGUAGGGUACCGCUGAAAAAGUCCAUGGUGCGGCUUCAAAUUUCCUUUCUUGUCUUUGUCGCCUGUAAUUUGAUCCUCCAGUGGCUCAAGAUCAAAAUCAGAAGAGACCAUGCUGUUACUUCCUGUUGAUUCCACAAAUUCAUCAUCAGAUGGUCUUCUAAUUUUAACUGGUGUUUCUCCAUUUGGAAAAUUGACCCUUAAAUUUUUUCCAAAUGAUGUCGAGUCACCAUUGUAUGAGUCCUCAAUGAGAAUGGAAUUAGCCUCCCCAACUUUAUGGUUAUAUACAGCACUUUUCUCUUGUUUUCUGUCUUUGUCAGCGACUUCUGAUGGAUGAUUGUAUAGAGUUUCACUAGGCAGCCACUCAGCCUCGUAUUCAAAAUCGCCAAGGUCUUCAUCUUCUCUACUUGAACUGCCAACUCCAUUUGCUGAGCCUUUUGGUUCUUCAGCAUGGGAAUUUGCAAGCAAGUCCUGUCCUGCUUUUUGUUUGACAGGAGAGAGAGCUAUAUUACUCGCAUUACCAACUGCAGGAUCUCCAUUAUGGAGCAUUUUGCUUGACUGAAUUCCUUUCUUCAUUUUUCCGAAACGUUUGCCUUUAUGAAGUUGAUUCUUCCCUUUCAUGCUCUUCUGGGUCUUCAACAAUCUCCGCCUCAUAGAUACAAAGCGUUUCAAUGGAGGAGCUGCGUUAUGGUUAUGGCCAUGAAGGGAGCAAUAAGUAUAUCGGCAAACCCUCAUGACUAAUUUUCCUUCAGAUUCACAUUCACCAGGUUGAAGCUCGAGCUCCAAGGAAUCAGGGAAUUUUGAAUCUUUGAGAAUUGAAGAACAGGUAGCUUUAUGUAUGCUUGAGUCAGGAGAUUGACAUAUUUCAUAACAUUUCUCCAUAGAGGGCUUCUUUAAUUUGAAGGUACCCAUUUUUGUCAAGACUUUCACAGGUUUCAAACUCGAUGUUCUUGUUAUUGUAAAUCUCACAGAUUUGUUACCGGACAAAGCAUAUUUUGGCCUUGAACCACUUAAUUUUUUGCUAAGAAAACUAGAUUCAGAAUUA